Molecule: ribosomal RNA, 894 nt
Filed under: Phyllostachys heteroclada
Lineage: Eukaryota; Viridiplantae; Streptophyta; Magnoliopsida; Poales; Poaceae
Also listed under: 1 other name
Description: LSU rRNA
Rfam family: Eukaryotic large subunit ribosomal RNA
Source: RNAcentral
UCAAUAAGCGGAGGAAAAGAAACCAACAGGGAUUGCCCUAGUAACGGCGAGUGAAGCGGCAACAGCUCAAAUUUGAAAUCUGGCUCUUUCAGAGUCCGAGUUGUAAUUUGCAGAGGGCGCUUUGGCGUUGGCAGCGGUCCAAGUUCUUUGGAACAGGACGUCACAGAGGGUGAGAAUCCCGUACGUGGUCGCUAGCCUUCGCCGUGUAAAGCCCCUUCGACGAGUCGAGUUGUUUGGGAAUGCAGCUCUAAAUGGGAGGUAAAUUUCUUCUAAAGCUAAAUACUGGCCAGAGACCGAUAGCGCACAAGUAGAGUGAUCGAAAGAUGAAAAGCACUUUGGAAAGAGAGUCAAAUAGCACGUGAAAUUGUUGAAAGGGAAGCGCUUGCAGCCAGACUUGCCUGUAGUUGCUUAUCCAGACUCUUGUCUGGUGCACUCUUCUGCAGGCAGGCCAGCAUCAGUUUGGGCGGUUGGAUAAAGGUCUCUAUCACGUACCUCCUUUCGGGGAGGCCUUAUAGGGGAGACGUCAUGCAACCAGCCUGGACUGAGGUCCGCGCAUCUGCUAGGAUGCUGGCGUAAUGGCUGUAAGCGGCCCGUCUUGAAACACGGACCAAGGAGUCUAACAUCUAUGCGAGUGUUUGGGUGUCAAGCCCAGACGCGUAAUGAAAGUGAACGGAGGUGGGAACCCUUACGGGUGCACCAUCGACCGAUCCUGAUGUCUUCGGAUGGAUUUGAGUAAGAGCAUGGCUGUUGGGACCCGAAAGAUGGUGAACUAUGCUUGAAUAGGGUGAAGCCAGAGGAAACUCUGGUGGAGGCUCGCAGCGGUUCUGACGUGCAAAUCGAUCGUCAAAUUUGGGCAUAGGGGCGAAAGACUAAUCGAACUAUCUAGUAGCUGGU